GCGGGAUUGCUUAGCAGUCGGGGAGCAAUAUUGCGCAUGGAAUUUUCGCUGCCUCUCUCGCUCUCUCGGUUGGGGUAUGUCUGUGUGAGUGAGUUUGGGUCUGUGUGUGAGUGUGGGGUGUCUGAGUCUGAGUCACUGAGGGGGAAGAAGUU
This 152-nucleotide ribosomal RNA is filed under the name Protocruzia adhaerens. RNAcentral describes it as "Protocruzia adherens partial Archaeal small subunit ribosomal RNA". The record is from RNAcentral. Lineage: Eukaryota; Ciliophora; Spirotrichea.